Molecule: ribosomal RNA, 367 nt
Filed under: Mycobacterium tuberculosis
Lineage: Bacteria; Bacillati; Actinomycetota; Actinomycetes; Mycobacteriales; Mycobacteriaceae
Description: bacterial SSU rRNA
Rfam family: Bacterial small subunit ribosomal RNA
Source: RNAcentral
GGGAAGAACAAGUGCCAUUCGAAUAGGUUGGCACCUUGACGGUACCUAACCAGAAAGCCCCGGCUAACUACGUGCCAGCAGCCGCGGUAAUACGUAGGGGGCAAGCGUUGUCCGGAAUUAUUGGGCGUAAAGCGCGCGCAGGCGGUCUCUUAAGUCUGAUGUGAAAGCCCACGGCUCAACCGUGGAGGGUCAUUGGAAACUGGGGGACUUGAGUGUAAGAGAGGAAAGUGGAAUUCCACGUGUAGCGGUGAAAUGCGUAGAUAUGUGGAGGAACACCAGUGGCGAAGGCGACUUUCUGGCCUACAACUGACGCUGAGGCGCGAAAGCGUGGGGAGCAAACAGGAUUAGAUACCCUUGUAGUCUGAAA